UAAAACAGCGGUUCCCGUACGAUCGCCGAAGUUAAGCAACAUCGAGUUUGGUUAAUACUUAAAUAGGUGACCGCUUGGGUUUAACAGGUGCUGUAAG
Acanthosepion pharaonis is the source of this 97-nucleotide non-coding RNA. NCBI's taxonomy places the organism in Eukaryota, Metazoa, Mollusca, Cephalopoda, Sepiida, Sepiidae. The record is from the annotation of a GenBank genome assembly.